Molecule: unclassified non-coding RNA, 198 nt
Filed under: uncultured Mycenella
Lineage: Eukaryota; Fungi; Basidiomycota; Agaricomycetes; Agaricales; Tricholomataceae
Description: sequence contains ITS2
Source: RNAcentral
AAUUCUCAACCAUUGAACUUGUUUCUCUGGCUUGGAUGUGGGGGUUGCGGGCUUCGCAAGAGGUCGGCUCUCCUUAAAUGCAUUAGUGGAAACCGCUUGCAGGAUUCAUUCACUUUUUGGUGUGAUAGUAUCGUCGUCAGAAGUAGUGUUUCCGAGGUAUCUGCUCUCUAACCGUCCGCAAGGACUCUAUAAUGACUU